CACUCUAGAGAGACUGCCAGGGAUAACCUGGAGGAAGGUGGGGAUGACGUCAAAUCAUCAUGCCCCUUAUGCUUAGGGCUACACACGUGCUACAAUGGGUAGUACAGAGGGUUGCCAAGCCGUAAGGUGGAGCUAAUCCCUUAAAGCUACUCUCAGUUCGGAUUGUAGGCUGAAACUCGCCUACAUGAAGCUGGAGUUACUAGUAAUCGCAGAUCAGAAUGCUGCGGUGAAUGCGUUCCCGGGUCUGUGACACACCGCCCGUCACACAUCGGGAGUUGGAGACGCCCGAAGCGGUGUAUCUAACCUUGUGGAAGAAGUCGUCGAAGGUGGAAUCAAUAGCUGGGGUGAAGUCGUAACAAGGUAGCCGUAUCGGAAGGUGCGGCUGGAUCACCUCCUUUCUAAGGAGA
Molecule: ribosomal RNA, 407 nt
Filed under: Clostridioides difficile
Lineage: Bacteria; Bacillati; Bacillota; Clostridia; Peptostreptococcales; Peptostreptococcaceae
Description: bacterial SSU rRNA
Rfam family: Bacterial small subunit ribosomal RNA
Source: RNAcentral